UACGGAGGGUGCAAGCGUUAUCCGGAUUCACUGGGUUUAAAGGGUGCGUAGGCGGGCAUGUAAGUCCGUGGUUAAAUCUCCGAGCUUAACUCGGAAACUGCCAUGGAUACUAUGUGUCUUGAAUGUUGUGGAGGUGAGCGGAAUAUGUCAUGUAGCGGUGAAAUGCUUAGAUAUGACAUAGAACACCAAUUGCGAAGGCAGCUCACUACACAAAUAUUGACGCUGAGGCACGAAAGCGUGGGGAUCAAACAGG
This 253-nucleotide ribosomal RNA is filed under the name uncultured bacterium. Its description in RNAcentral is "partial 16S ribosomal RNA". It matches the Rfam family "Bacterial small subunit ribosomal RNA", at positions 524 to 776 of the family's 1533-position model. The record is from RNAcentral.